CCUACGGGUGGCUGCAGCCGAGAAUCAUUCACAAUGGGGGAAACCCUGAUGGUGCGACGCCGCGUGGGGGAAUGAAGGUCUUCGGAUUGUAAACCCCUGUCAUGGGGGAGCAAAUUAAAAAGAUAGUACCACAAGAGGAAGAGACGGCUAACUCUGUGCCAGCAGCCGCGGUAAUACAGAGGUCUCAAGCGUUGUUCGGAAUCACUGGGCGUAAGGCGUGCGUAGGCUGUUUCGUAAGUCGUGUGUGAAAGGCGCGGGCUCAACCCGCGGACGGCACAUGAUACUGCGAGACUAGAGUAAUGGAGGGGGAACCGGAAUUCUCGGUGUAGCAGUGAAAUGCGUAGAUAUCGAGAGGAACACUCGUGGCGAAGGCGGGUUCCUGGACAUUAACUGACGCUGAGGCACGAAGGCCAGGGGAGCGAAAGGGAUUAGAUACCCCUGUAGUC
Molecule: ribosomal RNA, 446 nt
Filed under: uncultured bacterium
Lineage: Bacteria
Description: partial 16S ribosomal RNA
Rfam family: Bacterial small subunit ribosomal RNA
Source: RNAcentral